AACGGCCAUACCAUGCUGAAUAUGCCGGUUCUCGUUAUAUCACCGUAGUCAAGCAUCAUUGGGCGCGGUCAGUACUUGGGUGGGUGACCACCUGGGAACACCGCGUGCCGUUU
Molecule: ribosomal RNA, 113 nt
Filed under: Caerostris extrusa
Lineage: Eukaryota; Metazoa; Arthropoda; Arachnida; Araneae; Araneidae
Source: RNAcentral